AAAGUCGUAACAAGGUUUCCGUAGGUGAACCUGCGGAAGGAUCAUUAAUGGAUGCAUAUAAGGAUGUGCUGGUUCGAAAUAAGAACAUUGUGCACUCCUUAAAUCUCCCCUUUUAUCCACCUGUGCACUCUAUGAUGGGUUGGGUCAACUCUGGCCUUUUUAUAUCCAUCGUAUUUUUAUAAUACACCAAAUAUAAUUAUGAUGUUAACAUUUACAAAUUGUAACAACUUUCAACAAUGGAUCUCUUGGUUCUC
RNAcentral lists this unclassified non-coding RNA (254 nucleotides) under Basidiomycota sp. RNAcentral's name for it is "partial contains small subunit ribosomal RNA, internal transcribed spacer 1, and 5.8S ribosomal RNA". The stretch from base 1 to 47 matches the Rfam family "Eukaryotic small subunit ribosomal RNA", at positions 1785 to 1831 of the family's 1831-position model. Lineage: Eukaryota; Fungi; Basidiomycota. The record is from RNAcentral.